CACAAUAAUAAACUUCUACCCUAUGGUGUCACUGAGACAAAGUUUUAAGCUCUGCAUUUGUCUGUGAUCUCACUGACAUUAAAGGAAAAGAAUCUUAAUCUUGCUCAAAUUCAUUUUGUUCAGAAAGUUUCUUAGUAUCACCUAAAAGCAGGUUAUAGUGUUUGAACAAAAAAAAAUACUCUUUUAGGGUUUCAGGGAAUGAAUGUCUCUCCUCCCUAUAACGUCCUCUUAGAUUUUUCCAUUGGUAAAAGCUGUCUAUAUUGUUAAAGAAAUGAAUCAGUAAUUUAAAAACAGAUCUACAUAGUCUCAUGGUUUUUAGUUAAUAUGGCAAAUCUCUGCUUAUCCCCAAAGAAGUUACCUAAACAUGGAAACAAGACAUUUCACUCCCAAAAUUACUGUUAAUGUAACUGAUAGGUAUAGUGAGAUUUAAACUCAAACCAGAGGUGUG
This 448-nucleotide long non-coding RNA is filed under the name Bos taurus (domestic cattle). RNAcentral describes it as "long non-coding RNA NONBTAT000672". The record is from RNAcentral. Lineage: Eukaryota; Metazoa; Chordata; Mammalia; Artiodactyla; Bovidae.